This 99-nucleotide microRNA precursor is filed under the name Marmota monax (woodchuck). Lineage: Eukaryota; Metazoa; Chordata; Mammalia; Rodentia; Sciuridae. The record is from RNAcentral.
AGUGGGAUAACUGGUUCAAAUGGUGUUUUUUUUUUUUUUUUAGGAAUUUCCAUACUGCUUUCCAGAGUGGUUGCAUCAAUUUGCAGUCCCACCAGCAAU